Molecule: small nuclear RNA, 275 nt
Filed under: Octodon degus (degu)
Lineage: Eukaryota; Metazoa; Chordata; Mammalia; Rodentia; Octodontidae
Description: 7SK RNA (ENSODEG00000022480.1)
Rfam family: 7SK RNA
About the family: 7SK was discovered as an abundant small nuclear RNA in the mid-70s but a possible function has only recently been suggested. Two independent studies have found that 7SK RNA binds the CDK9/cyclin T complex (known as elongation factor P-TEFb).
Source: RNAcentral
AGGAGGUAAGACUGCCUGUGACACCCCAGUCACUCCACUGACUGCCAGGGAUCUGGCUGGAGAGGCAGGUGUCCCCUUCCUCCCCUACUGCUCUAAGUGCAUCCCUUCUGAAGCUGCAAGCUCAGCUGAAGAGGCUGAUAGGAUUAUUUCCUCAUCAAGGGUGUAUAGUAGCUGUGCUCCCCUUGAUAGAACUUCCAAACAAGCUCUCAAAAUGCAUCAAGUACCAAGUUUCAAAGCACUCAAGUACCAAGGCAUGAACUACUAGAAAAAAAUUU